AUACGUAGGGAGCGAGCGUUGUCCGGAAUUACUGGGCGUAAAGAGCUCGUAGGUGGUUUGUCGCGUCGUCUGUGAAAUUCCGGGGCUUAACUCCGGGCGUGCAGGCGAUACGGGCAUAACUUGAGUACUGUAGGGGAGACUGGAAUUCCUGGUGUAGCGGUGAAAUGCGCAGAUAUCAGGAGGAACACCGGUGGCGAAGGCGGGUCUCUGGGCAGUAACUGACGCUGAAGAGCGAAAGCAUGGGUAGCGAACAGGAUUAGAUACCCUGGUAGUCCAUGCUGUAAACGGUGGGCGCUAGGUGUAGGGGUCUUCCACGACUUCUGUGCCGUAGCUAACGCAUUAAGCGCCCCGCCUGGGGAGUACGGCCGCAAGGCUAAAACUCAAAUGAAUUGACGGGG
This 398-nucleotide ribosomal RNA is filed under the name uncultured bacterium. Its description in RNAcentral is "partial 16S ribosomal RNA". It matches the Rfam family "Bacterial small subunit ribosomal RNA", at positions 523 to 918 of the family's 1533-position model. The record is from RNAcentral.